Molecule: transfer RNA, 1272 nt
Filed under: Marmota monax (woodchuck)
Lineage: Eukaryota; Metazoa; Chordata; Mammalia; Rodentia; Sciuridae
Source: RNAcentral
UUCAGAAUCUGCUCAACUGAGACAUUUUACAUAAUUCAGUAGAUCAACAUAUGUCUUAUGUAAGAGACAGAUGGUUUGCUUUAUUAUUGGUACUGGCAAUUUAACCCAGGGGUGCUUUACCACUGAGUCAUACCCCCAACACUUUUUUUUAAUUUUGACACAGUCUCAUUAGGUUGCUUAGGGCUUCACUGAGUUUCUGGGGCUGCUUCAAACUUGAGCUCCUCCUACUUCCUCUCCUGAGUUGCUGGGAUUACAGGCAUAUGUUUGAUUUAUUGGAUUAUUACUCGUCAUUAUUAAGGACCCAUCAAAUCUUAAGUACUAUGCUAAGGAUUCAGUCCUGCUAAGCACCUAUGAGAAGUCUCAAAAGGGUCAAGUUCCUCCAGGAGCUCAUCACCAAAGAUGAAGAUGAACCAAAAAAAAAAAAAAAAAAUGUACAGAUUCAAGCAACAUGUAUAAAGGGAUCUAAAGGAGUACUUCAAAGUGCCAAGAUGUGUUGUUAAUGGAGUCAUGAGGGGCCAUCAGCUUGUAGUAACUUCACAGAGGAAAUGAAUUUUAGUAGCUUUGAUAGAGAAGUAAAACCAUAUUGGAAAGGAGAAAUAGCCAGAAGGUGCUGGGAAUGGAAGUCAGAAUCUCAUACAUGCUAAGCAAGCACUCUACCACUGAGCUACAUCCCCAGCCAGGAAUUGAGCUAAAUAGAGGUAAGAUAAGCUGGUGAAGAGUUUGAAAACUCUUAAUUUUCUUAAGAAAUUUUUAUUAGCUGGGUGAAAUUGGGCAAGUUAAUAUCUACCGCCCAGUGAUUAUAUGAAGAUUAAAUGAAAAAAAAAAAAAGAAUGUAAAGUGCUUAGAGAGAUGCUCCAUAAUUUCAUCAUUGAUCAAAAUAAUACUUUAGAGAAUUCAAAUCAUAGAAAUGCAUUAAAUGAAAAUUACAGUCUACCUUCUCAAUUCACAUUGUCUCUAACCUUUUGGUGUACAUUUUCCAGUGUUUAUAUGCAAUAAUUAUCAACAUAUUAUUUUGCAUCUUGACAAUAUCUUGAAGAAUUUUCCCGGUCAGCAUGGAGAGAUUUACCUCACAGUAUUCCAUUGUAUGUCCAUUAAUUAAUUUAGCCAUAUUCCUAGUUAUGGGCCAACAAUGCUUCAAUAGGACAUCCUAGAACAUAUAUCUUUUUACUAUUGUGAGAAUGUUUUAUAAGUGAAAAUGCUGAGUUGAAAAGUAUGAAUAUUUUAAGUUUUAGUAUAUUUUGUUAAAUUGUUCCCAUCCUCCCUAUAGUGUAG